This 289-nucleotide ribosomal RNA is filed under the name Butyrivibrio sp. ob235. RNAcentral describes it as "16S rRNA. Bacterial SSU". It matches the Rfam family "Bacterial small subunit ribosomal RNA", at positions 1 to 268 of the family's 1533-position model. The record is from RNAcentral. Lineage: Bacteria; Bacillati; Bacillota; Clostridia; Lachnospirales; Lachnospiraceae.
UUAAACGUGAGAGUUCGAUCCUGGCUCAGGAUGAACGCUGGCGGCGUGCCUAACACAUGCAAGUCGAACGGAGAUUUGACGCUGCAGAGACUUCGGUCAAAGCUUGUUAAAUCUUAGUGGCGGACGGGUGAGUAACGCGUGGGCAACCUGCCUCGUACUGGGGGAUAACAGUUGGAAACGACUGUUAAUACCGCAUAAGCGCACGGUAUCGCAUGAUACAGUGUGAAAAACUCCGGUGGUACGAGAUGGGCCCGCGUCAGAUUAGCCAGUUGGCGGGGUAACGGCCCAC